Molecule: ribosomal RNA, 304 nt
Filed under: uncultured Streptococcus sp.
Lineage: Bacteria; Bacillati; Bacillota; Bacilli; Lactobacillales; Streptococcaceae
Description: bacterial SSU rRNA
Rfam family: Bacterial small subunit ribosomal RNA
Source: RNAcentral
UGGUUAGUCCGCAACGAGCGCAACCCCUACUUGUUAGUUGUCCAUCAUUCAGUUGGGCACUCUAGCGAGACUGCCGGUAAUAAACCGGAGGAAGGUGGGGAUGACGUCAAAUCAUCAUGCCCCUUAUGACCUGGGCUACACACGUGCUACAAUGGUUGGUACAACGAGUUGCGAGUCGGUGACGGCGAGCUAAUCUCUUAAAGCCAAUCUCAGUUCGGAUUGUAGGCUGCAACUCGCCUACAUGAAGUCGGAAUCGCUAGUAAUCGCGGAUCAGCACGCCGCGGUGAAUACGUUCCCGGGCCUU